CUCUUCUUGUUUGUUGAUUUGAAGUAUGGCCUGCCCGCUGAGGUUAUUGAAGGGCCGCGGUAUUUUGACCGUGCAAAGGUAGCAUAAUCAUUAGCUCUUUAAUUGUGAGCUGGUAUGAAUGGUUUGACGAGGCAUUAACUGUCUUUAACUUAAGGGUUGUUGAAUUUGUUUUUUAGGUAAGAAUACCUGGAUUUUUUUAUGGGACGAGAAGACCCUAUAGAGUUUUAUAUGACGCAUUUCCUUUAGUUUGUUGUGUUUGUGGGGUGUUGGUUUAUAUUUUGUUGGGGCGAUGAGAAGGUAGGUGUAACCCUUCUUUUAUUGUGUUUUCACUUAUUUGUGCUUUUUUGAUCCUUUUUAUUGAUUGUAAGACUAAAUUACCUUAGGGAUAACAGCAUAAUCUUUUUUGAGAGUUCUUAUUGACAAAAGGGUUUGUGA
This 435-nucleotide ribosomal RNA is filed under the name Cryptotermes secundus. RNAcentral's name for it is "partial 16S ribosomal RNA". It matches the Rfam family "Bacterial large subunit ribosomal RNA", at positions 1832 to 2523 of the family's 2925-position model. Lineage: Eukaryota; Metazoa; Arthropoda; Insecta; Blattodea; Kalotermitidae. The record is from RNAcentral.